RNAcentral lists this ribosomal RNA (305 nucleotides) under uncultured bacterium. RNAcentral describes it as "bacterial SSU rRNA". It matches the Rfam family "Bacterial small subunit ribosomal RNA", at positions 337 to 653 of the family's 1533-position model. The record is from RNAcentral.
GCCUACGGGAGGCAGCAGUCGAGAAUCAUUCACAAUGGGGGAAACCCUGAUGGUGCGACGCCGCGUGGGGGAAUGAAGGUCUUCGGAUUGUAAACCCCUGUCAUGUGGGAGCAAAUUAAAAAGAUAGUACCACAAGAGGAAGAGACGGCUAACUCUGUGCCAGCAGCCGCGGUAAUACAGAGGUCUCAAGCGUUGUUCGGAAUCACUGGGCGUAAAGCGUGCAUAGGCUGUUUCGUAAGUCGUGUGUGAAAGGCGCGGGCUCAACCCGCGGACGGCACAUGAUGCUGCGAGACUAGAGUAAUGGG